UACGGAGGGUGCAAGCAUUAAUCGGAUUUAUUGGGCGUAAAGGGCGCGUAGGCGGACUUGUAGGUCAGGUGUGAAAUUCCGGGGCUUAACCUCGGAGCUGCACUUGAAACCCCAAGUCUUGAGGAUAGGCGGAGAAAAUGGAAUUCCACGUGUAGCGGUGAAAUGCGUAGAUACGUGGAAGAACACCUGUGGCGAAAGCGGUUUUCUAGCUUAUUCCUGACGCUGAGGCGCGAGAGCAAGGGGAGCAAACAGG
This 253-nucleotide ribosomal RNA is filed under the name uncultured bacterium. RNAcentral's name for it is "partial 16S ribosomal RNA". It matches the Rfam family "Bacterial small subunit ribosomal RNA", at positions 524 to 776 of the family's 1533-position model. The record is from RNAcentral.